This 298-nucleotide ribosomal RNA is filed under the name Haemaphysalis flava. RNAcentral's name for it is "partial large subunit ribosomal RNA". The record is from RNAcentral. Lineage: Eukaryota; Metazoa; Arthropoda; Arachnida; Ixodida; Ixodidae.
GUAUUUUGACUAUACAAAGGUAUUGUAAUAAGACUUUAAUUGAGUGCUAAAAGAAUGGAGUUUCAAAAAAAGUCUAUCUUGAAUUCAAAAAUUGAAUUUAUUUUUAUUUGUGAAGAAACAAUAAUUAAAAUUAAGGACAAGAAGACCCUAAGAAUUUUUAAUUUUGUAUAUAUAAAUAUAUAUAUAUACAAAAUUUUAAUUGGGGCGAUUAAAAAAUAUAGUUAACUUUUAAUUUUAAAAAAUGAUCCAUUAUUAGUGAUUUAAUGUAAAAAAUACUCUAGGGAUAACAGCGUAAUAA